CUCCCUGUUCGGGCGGCGCUCGGCGUCGCAGGUUUACUAGCCGCCACCGAUCCCUUUUUCCUUUUCUGGUUGUUUUGUCUGUCUUCCUUUUCACACCUGGUUUCAUUUGCGUUUAUUUCUGGGUGUAUAUAGAGCACCUGUUGCUUGCCUUAGUUCGUGCGGGAUUAUGUUUGUGUGUAUUUGCGCUCGAUUAUCUUUGACGUUUAUUGGUUUCACUAUUUAGGCACGUGUAUGUAAGUGUCGGAACUGUGGUUGUUCCUCCGUGUGUUGGCACGAGUUUCUGAUCCUUCGAGAGCCUAGUUUUGUUUUUGUCUGUGCCAUUUUUGUAUUGGUGGAUAUAUAUAUAUAUAUAACACGCUUCUCAGAAAUCCCUGCUCUCCUGCGCCUGACUCUUACACCUCUCACCGAGACGCACCUUAUCACACACACACCCAGUCCCUCGUGACACACACAGCGCUCACUCCAUGCAAAUAUUAGUCCACAAACAUUGUUCAGCCAGUCUGAAAAUGCAUUGCAUAUCAUGGAAAUGCUAGUUUCAGUAUUCAAAACUCCCAGCUGCAUUGCUGUCUAUUAGAUACAGUGGAGGCUGCUGAGAGAACGGCUCAUAAUACUGAACAGAACGGAGCAAACGGAAAUGGCAUCAAACCUGGAAAUCACCUGUUUGAGAAAAGCAGAACUGCCGUGUUGACAAUGUCACGAUCGUCGUAAGGAACGGACCAAAAUGCAGCGUGGUAGAGAUUCAACUGUGAGGUCAGCAGACAACCUGGGCAGUGCCAUCUAGUGGACUCUGUGAGGAGAACAAGCUCAGACUCAUUGGGCUUGCACGGCGGGGGAGCUGACAUCAACCCAACCUCUUGCCCUGGGCUCGUUUUCAUCUGUUGCUUAUAAUCAGAACAGAGUUUCCAUCCAGAAACAACCUCUAGCCCCUAGGAUCUGUGUAGAUCUGAAAGGGUGGGAUAGGUAUGGCCAAAGUUCCACAUAACCGUUUUCCAUUACAGUGUAGGCUAUUCAUAGAGUAUUCUUUCCCUGUUUUGGACAGGGAAAGAAUUUCUGUGUUUUGAAUGGUACUGUUAUUCCACCCCACAGAAUACAGUAACAUACUGUAUCUUUGGAGCUCCAAAAAACUUUUGACCACUAGUGGGUACAUGUUAUUGUUGUUUCUGGCUCAUUAACAUAUUUUGAGGCGUGGCUUGUAAGAGGUUAUAUUUGUUGCACUGGUGAGUGAGACUGCUGUAACAAUUUAGAUCCCACAUGGUUAUUGUGCCCCAUUGCAGUAAUUAUUAACCACUGUAAGUUUAAGCUGUUGGA
Oncorhynchus tshawytscha (Chinook salmon) is the source of this 1308-nucleotide long non-coding RNA. RefSeq lists it as uncharacterized. Lineage: Eukaryota; Metazoa; Chordata; Actinopteri; Salmoniformes; Salmonidae. The transcript has 3 exons. The record is from RefSeq and is a predicted model, not a curated record.